This 175-nucleotide ribosomal RNA is filed under the name uncultured Streptococcus sp. RNAcentral describes it as "partial 16S ribosomal RNA". It matches the Rfam family "Bacterial small subunit ribosomal RNA", at positions 1208 to 1382 of the family's 1533-position model. The record is from RNAcentral. Lineage: Bacteria; Bacillati; Bacillota; Bacilli; Lactobacillales; Streptococcaceae.
CCUGGGCUACACACGUGCUACAAUGGUUGGUACAACGAUUUGCGAGUCGGUGACGGCGAGCUAAUCUCUUAAAGCCAAUCUCAGUUCGGAUUGUAGGCUGCAACUCGCCUACAUGGAGUCGGAAUCGCUAGUAAUCGCGGAUCAGCACGCCGCGGUGAAUACGUUCCCGGGCCUU